RNAcentral lists this ribosomal RNA (568 nucleotides) under uncultured bacterium. RNAcentral describes it as "bacterial SSU rRNA". It matches the Rfam family "Bacterial small subunit ribosomal RNA", at positions 11 to 576 of the family's 1533-position model. The record is from RNAcentral.
GUUUGAUCAUGGCUCAGGAUGAACGCUAGCGGCAGGCUUAAUACAUGCAAGUCGAACGGCAAGUUGAAUAGCAAUAUUUGACCUAGAGUGACGUACGGGUGCGUAACACGUAUGCAACCUACCCAAAACUGGAGGAUAGCUCGGGGAAACUCGAAUUAACCCUCCAUAAGAUCAUAGAGUAGCAUUACUCAGUGAUUAAAACUCCGGUGGUUUUGGAUGGGCAUGCGUCUGAUUAGUUAGUUGGCGGGGUAACGGCCCACCAAGACGAUGAUCAGUAGGGGAACUGAGAGGUUGAUCCCCCACACUGGCACUGAGAUACGGGCCAGACUCCUACGGGAGGCAGCAGUAGGGAAUAUUGGUCAAUGGAUGCAAGUCUGAACCAGCCAUGCCGCGUGCAGGAAGAAGCGUUAUGCCUUGUAAACUGCUUUUGCCAGGGAUAAAAUUUCCUUGCGAGGAACAUUGAAGGUACCUGGUGAAUAAGCCACGGCUAACUACGUGCCAGCAGCCGCGGUAAUACGUAGGUGGCAAGCGUUGUCCGGAUUUAUUGGGUUUUAAAGGGUGCGUAGGC